CAGAUUUUGUCAGUAGCUCUAAAAAGUUUGAACUACAAAUAUUGCCAUAUCUUAAUGGCCCAAUAGAAAAAGAAGUAAAGGAUACCCUUGGCAGUGAUGUUUCACUCCACUGUGAUGUGGUUGGCUAUCCAGUAAUCUAUCAAUGGCGUGAUGAGGAAUAUUGUUUGAUUGGUGUUGGAAAAAAUUGCACAGAUCCUCGAAUCAGACAGAAAAACAACAUCUUGCAUAUAGAUGAUUUUGGGUAUAAGGAUCAAAAGAGAUAUACAUGUGUUGGAAGUGUUGGUG
Long non-coding RNA from Dendronephthya gigantea, 285 nucleotides. RefSeq lists it as uncharacterized. The transcript is spliced from 3 exons. The record is from RefSeq and is a predicted model, not a curated record. Lineage: Eukaryota; Metazoa; Cnidaria; Anthozoa; Malacalcyonacea; Nephtheidae.